RNAcentral lists this long non-coding RNA (42206 nucleotides) under Medicago truncatula (barrel medic). Lineage: Eukaryota; Viridiplantae; Streptophyta; Magnoliopsida; Fabales; Fabaceae. The record is from RNAcentral.
AAGAUAUGAAACUUGGAAACCUGACAUUACCUGCUGGAGUGGAGGUUUUCUUACCAAUUCUUUUGAUUCAUCAUGACUGCAAACUAUGGGGCGAUGAUGCUAAAAUGUUCAAUCCUGAGAGAUUUUCCGGAGGAAUUUCUAAAGCAACAAAUGGUAGAGUUUCAUUUUUUCCAUUUGGAUGGGGUCCAAGAAUUUGCAUUGGACAAAACUUUUCCCUAAUGGAAGCAAAGAUGGCAUUGUCAAUGAUUUUGCAACAUUUUUCAUUUGAACUUUCCUCAACCUAUGCUCAUGCUCCAUCAACUGUGAUUACUCUUCAGCCACAAUAUGGUGCUCAUAUUAUUAUACGCAAAGUGGAAACAUAAAAACCUAAUCAUAGUAUGCUCUUAAGGUGUAAAUUUUAUCAUAUAGUAUUAUUGUCCAAAAACUUCAUAUUCUAUUAUAGUACUAUUGUCCAAAAACUUCAUAUUAUAAUUAAUAAGACGAGUCUCAUAGGUGCCUUCAUGUUUUCUUUCAGUUAGAUAUAAAUAUAAAUAUAAAUUGAUUUUUUGUUUGGAUAAAUUUGAUAAAUAUAUUAGUUUUCAAUAAGUUUGUAGGGAUUAAGGUUAAAUUCUUCUUAUAAAAAUCCUUUAAGUUUGAUUGAAUCCCUUUUCUAUUUAUUUUGAUGUUUUGUCUUCGAGAGUUGAAGAAUGAAAGUAUGUUAUAGGGACUGUGUUGGUAGUAGGACUGCUCAAAAUGAAUUUUAUUAGCAACAUAUUCUCCAACGCACUUUUUAAUACACGGUAUCUAAUAAGUUGAUAUUCAAAUGAUUCCUACUAAAUCUACAUGAAACGUUAUUAAAAAAAAAAUAUACAUGAAACUUUUAUAAGUUAAUGUCACACAUUUGAAUUUCAACCAAUUAAAAAAAAAAGAUUGUUGAAAAAUCAUGUUAAAGAGUAUGUUGUUCACUACGCUAGAAAACAUUAGGAAAAAAAAAAAGGAGACAUGAAAGAAAUAAGCUUAAUUACACUUUUAAUCUUUGGAGCAGAUUAAAAUAGUUUACGAGCAUUGUUUAUGAAAGAUUGCCCUUUUGCAUAUUACAUACAUUUGUUUUGCUCAUAGAUUACAAUUUGUAUUGGUCACUGCAUCAAGAGAAGCUUACUUUUAUUGUCAAUGUUGUUUGUUCUUCUCCUAAGCGCCAUGAAUUUGUUAACUCUAAGUUGUGCUUUGACUCCUAAGGAUAGUUAUAAACCUUUUGAUGUUGAUACUAUUGGGUGCCAGAGUAGCAAAAUAUUAUCACGCAGCUAAAAUAAGAGACGAGAAAAGACGAACUGAACACACAUAUUUUCGUUGAAACCCCUCAACAAAUAAGGGAAAAAAAUCACAGGGCGAGAGUAGAGAACUUUUCACUAAGUGGAAGAAAUUACAAGACCUCUUUCUAUAUACAAGGAGAGACAAAUUACCCUCUAUGUUGAAAUAGGAGAAUAUUAACACUAGGAGAAAUCUCACAGGAGAAACUAUAUUUCCUCUCUAUAUUGUUCCUCUCACUCACAACAAGCUUUAAUUCUUGUUGUUCUGUUACUACUUGAUGGAAUGGGGUAGUGAAAUUGUGCAAAUGAGCUGGCUAUUUAUAAGAGAGGUAAGCCAUAGUUCCUUACAUGCAACAAACUACUUGUCUUCCAUGUAAAAUUUGUGCAACAUGUCACUUACAUCUCAUGCAUCUUGCAACUUGUCAAUAUAUGUAACCAUUCAUUUUGCCACUAUGCAUUACAUGCGAAAUGCAACUUAUCUUACAUGCACCAUGAACAUGUAUCUUGCUACAAAAGUGGUUUUAGCAAUCACAAUAUUGGAUUUGGAUCAUAAUUUGGGCCAAUUUCAUUCAUAAGCUUGGGUUUUAUCACAACUUGAGUCCAUAUCAUUCACAAAUACUAUUUGCACUCUUUUUCUAAAAAUGCUAUCCCAUGAAUUUCAAUGAAAAAGAUAAUGAUAACCUGUGUUAUCAACUAUAGCAAUUCAUUGGUGAUGCCAUAAAGAAUCAAGUUCAAAAAAUUUAUCAACAAUAAUACUCAUGUUUGAUUGCAACUAAGAUGAAUAAAAUUUACUUUUUGAUUGAUAAACCACUUCGUCUUAUCACGACUCUUCCAGUUUCUACAAUCACAACUUAGAUAUUUUUCAGCAAAGAAGAUUAUGAAGACUAGAUUGAGAAAUAAGAUGGGAAAUGAGUUUCUAAAUUAUAGCAUAACAGUUUAUAUCGAAAAGGAAAUUAGUGCAAGUAUCAGUUCUGAGUUGGUUAUUGUUAAUUUUAAGUUAGUUGGAUCGCAUAAAGAAUUAUUUUAAUUUUUAAAAAUAUGUAGUUUUAUUUUUUGAUGAACAAUUUUGUGCUUAGAAAUAGAAUUAUGUUUAUAUAUUAGAGUUUAUUCGGCUAGCUCACCCUUUCAAAUCCAAAUGUUGCAGUUGCUUGUUAUAAGACCCACAUCUGGUAAAAGUGAUGGGCUCAUUUGUAAAAAUUCUGGAAUUUUGCUCUCCCAUGCACAAAACACUCGCAUCCUGCAGCCAUGUCUAAAAUAAUCCUGCGUGAGUUAAGUCACGAUGCGUGACUUAACUCACACACCUUAAUUUUACAUGUGCGCGACUUAAGUCAUGCCGCAUGAGUUAACUCACGCAGGUGUUACACCCCGCAUGAGUUAACUCAGCAUUUCAAACUGUACUAGGGUGAGUUAACUCACGCGGGAUGUAACACCUGCGUGAGUUAACUCAUGCCGUGACUUAAGUCACGCAUGUAUAAAAUUAAGGUGUGUGAGUUAAGUCACGCAACAUGACUUAACUCACGCAGGGUCAUUUUAAGCAUGGCAGCAGGGCGCGAAUGUUUUGUGCAGGGGAAGAGCAAAAUUCAAAAUUUUGUAGUGUCAAUUUUAGAGGACCAAUAAAAUCAAAUCAUUGAAUAAUAUUUUUGAUUUUUUUAAUACAAAAGAUUGAAUAAUAAUAUCUUCGUGAACACGUAAUUCAUAUUUCAAAUAACUCCACCGAAAAGCAACAUGAUUUAAGGAUGCUAUCACUUUCCAAGUCUCUUCAAUAGCGACAACAAAGGAAACAAGUUAUUUUGGUUUUUGUUGCUGAUACCCAAAGCAAAGAGAAAGAAAGGAGCAACAUUUUUCUCACUCUUGUUUUGUCCCAACACAAUUAUCAUAGAUAUAAAGAAAAAGAGAAAGUGAACCCCACUUUAGAAUUUGAGGACAAAAUUAAGGGGAACAAGAAGAGAUUUUGAAUAAAAAGUGGUGCCAGAAUAUCCAACUAAAAUGGAAAAGUUAAUGAUAGAGUGUUAAGGAGUUUAACAAUUCCAACUUCACUUUCAACAUGGUAAGGAGUAUUAACUUUCAUCGUUAAAAUAAAUACUUUAAUAAUAUAUGUAGUGUUUUUUUUCUUCUUCUUAAAGAAUGUAGUGUGAUGUUUUCUUUUUAAACUAAAUAUUGAAAAAAAAUUAGACAAAAGAAUGAAACAUUUUUACUUUCACUUAUAAAAAUCAAAUAAAAAAUAUCUUUUUAAUAUUUUAAUUUCUUCUACUUUAUUUUUUUUAUUUAUCUUUAAAAAUUAAAUGAAGCUCUUUUAUAUAUGGAUAUAGAGAAGAGUGUUUACAGAAUCAUCAUAUAUCUUUACUUUUUGCAUGCCAACUUUGUUGAAUUGUUACGAAUCCUUUUUCUCUUAGUUCUUUUCUGGUAUUUCUUAUGCUCAAAGAUUAAGAUUUUAGUUUCUUAAAAAAAGUGAAUUUUAUCCAAUGAUAUUGAUAUAUAGUUAUUUGUGAAACUUAUUUGUAAUAUUUUUAUGAGGUGUUUGGUUAGAGAAAUUUAUACAUCCUCCAAUUACUAUAAUAAGUAAAUUGAUUUUUGCUUAUAACAAUAACAGGAUAAUGUAAGUGUUUAUCAAGAUACGUUGAUAUGGGAAAUGAAUUGUCUCAAUUGAACAAAAUUUUAAGAAAAUAAUGUAGAUAUCUUAACCACUGAUCUCUACAUUAUUAAUGCCCAGUAUUAAAGCUAGAUAUAUUUUUUUUUAUUGGUAGAUAUUAAUUAUUGAUAACGUGGAGAUCAACCAUAAAAUCUUCAUAUUAUUCCCUCAAUUUUUUUUCUUUCAAUUGAGACAAUCCACAAUUCUUCGGAUAAUGCUUUAUUUUAUUUUAUUUUAUUUUUAAAAAUAAAAUGAUAUUCAUUUAUUCAAAUUGAUCGAGUACAUCAGAUAUAAAUAUCGCAAAAAAUGUAAAGGAUGAAUCUGCGAACAAACUUACAACACCUAAGUUAAUGACAUACGACGGCAAAAUGCCUACAAAUAAUAUGAUAAAAUCUAAGUCACUAAAAAUCAAAUACUCAUGCUUUCGGAUCUGCAACGUUGACGCCCAAAUCAUUGAUUGAAUUUGUAAUUGACUGAAGUUGAUCUUUCAAUAGGAACUAAACGAACACCGCGACACGAUGCAAAAUCAAAUGCCGCACAAGACGAAGAACAACACAAUGUCGCACUUAGACGACGAAAUAAAAAAAAAAACACAGAAGAAAAAUUUUGAUAUAUGUGAAAAACACUUAUUUAGAUUAAAAGAAAAAGAAAAAAAAGAUGUAGAUGGAGUGAUUUUAGGUCAAAAAAUGAUCUAAAACCACCUCUUCUCGAUGAAUGAAGGAGAAAAAAAAAAGUUAAGUGUAUCUAUGGCUAGAAAACUAAGACGAGCAAAGAGCGGUAUGGAUAAUGCUUAAAUUUAUUAUAUCCAUUUAAACCAACUUUUAAUUUCACUCUAUUUAUUUUCUGAAAAACGAAAAGAUCUUUUGUGAGGCAAAAGUGAAGUGAGAUAUUUUGAGAGGCAAAAGCAACGUGAAUUAAUAUUUUUGGAAGUAUAUAUAAGUCAUUAAAGUGCUGAAGAUGAAACAAACAACCCCUUAAAUCAUUCAUAGAUCUAGUUCUCUUUCCUUAACACCUUUACUUUAUCUCUGCCCAUUUUCUUCUCCCACAAAGAAUGAUGAUGGGAGUAUCUUCAACAACUGCAACAUUCUUUCUCAUAGUUGCACCUUUGGUGCUUCUAUGGACAUGGAAGCUACUGAAUUGGCUAUGGCUAAGGCCAAAGAGAAUAGAGAAGGUACUGAGAGCACAAGGCCUUCAAGGCAGUCCAUACAAAAUUUUGGUUGGAGACACAAGGGAGAUGAUUAAGAUGAUGAUGGAAAAUGCUAAAUCUCCAAUAUUCACUAAUUCUCUUUCAGAUGAUAAAGAUGUGACACCACACAUCUUCACAUUUAUUCAUCACAUUUAUCAAAAAUUUGGUACGCAUCUUAAUUUCCACUACUAUUAGGAUUUCAAUUUUAUUUUAUACCAUCCACCGUUUCAUCAAUUUUCUUUCUCAUCAUUUUUUUUUUUUUAAUAAUUUAGUGGUUAGAGUUCACACAUUUCAAAUGUGGAGAAGUUGGAUGUCCGCUGAAUUUGGAUCCUUGGCAGCCAAAUUCUCUGCUGCCAUACACCAACCCUUAGAUCCAUUUCGCUUAAAAUGUUAAAAGCGCAUUAAAAUCUGUUUUCAAGGCCGCACAUAUUUAUUGUUUUCAAUAUACAUACUCCUGCACAUAUUAAAUAAUAUAUCUCGUAUUCAAACUUUCUUUGUUGAUAAAAUAUUCACAAUGUUAAGAAUAAUUAAAAAUAUCCCUAAAAAAAAAGACUAAGUAAAAUACAUGUUCCCAUAGGACAUCAAAUAAUAAAAAAAAAUAGUAUACUUUUUUGACAAAAAAAAAAUAAUAUAUAUUCUCUCCGUCUUUAUAUAUAAGCAUCCAUUUGAUUAAAAAUUUGUCCCUAAACAUAGACCUUUUUUUACAUUAUUAGAUGCAUUUUUCUUCUUCUUUAAACAUACCCUUAAAUCCUAAUUAGUACUACUAACUUACCUUAAAAUAUGAAAAAUUAAAUUUAAUACACAUACAAACAAAAUAUAUUAUAGUAAACAGGAAUCUAAGUCAUGUUCUCCUGAAUAAUUUGUGUUUGGUGAAUGUAUUAACCACCGGAGCUCAACUGAAUUGUUUGGUUAAAUGAAGAUGAAGUAUGUGAAUAAGUAAAAUAGUGUUUUUUAUAAGUUAAUUCAAGUAGGUUAUAGUUUAAAGUUUGUAGGUUAAAGAUUAUAGCUAUUCACUUUUAUCUCAAUUUUACCCCUACAAUCUUAAUUGAGAAAAUAUUAACCAAUACACAUUUUUUUAUGUCAUUUCAUAUUUAUAAUAUUUAUACGCUAAUCCCACCUCUAAUUUUAUGAAACAUUACAAAAUUAAUAUUAGCACCAAAUUAAAACCUGGUUUGAUAAAAAAAAAAUAAUACGUAAAGGUGUACUAUACAAUAUACAUUAUACAAAGCCAAAUUUCCCUCAAAAAAAAAAAAUUAUACAAAGCCAAAUUAAAAUAGUAGUUUGAGCGAAAAUAAUUACUUUACACCAUUGAAUGCAGUGUUUUUUCUUUUUCAAUGAGCUAUUGAUAUUUGAUAGCAGUUUAGCCGAAUCUGAACAAUAACAAGUGGAUCCAACGGCUGAUGUAAGGCAGCAGGAUGGCAGCAGGAUGGCAGCAGAGAGUUUGGCUGCCGAGAAUCCAAAUCCGUGUCCGCUCUCUGGGGAUUGAACCCGGCCCCUACAUAUAAUAUACAAUAUCUUUAUCUUUAUCAACUGAGUUAAUUAAUUGUACAUAUAUAUGGGAAUAUAUCAAGUGAGGCCUUUUAGAGAUUACAUAAUUUCUCUUGUAACUUUGCUAAUAGAAGUGGUAAUUGAGUUGCUCAUAGGCUAUUACACAACCCACUUAUAUUUGGUACAAUGUUCCUGCUAUAUUGAGUUGCUCAUAUGUUUCUGCUUUAAUCCAUGAGCCACCCAUCCCAAUUCUACAUUUUUACUUGAUGAAAGAGUCCAUGUAUGGAAAUAACUUAUGAUGUCAUAUUUCUAUUUAUUUUCUCUGUAUAUUAUAAGUACUAAAAAUACAUAUCUAAAUGUGAAAAUCACAUGUAUUUAGUUGAACUCAAACUCAUUUGAUUGAGGUCACUCUCUGUAUAGUCCUUGAACAGUUUGUGAUAUAUAACAAAAAUUAUUUGUAGGCAAGAAUUCUUUUUUAUGGGAAGGUACAAAUGCCAAAGUGAUCAUUACAAACCCUGAGCAAAUUAAGGAAAUCUUCAACAACAUGAAUGACUUUCAGAAACCGAAGUUGAGCCCCCUUUACAAGCUACUGGGAACAGGACUUGCAAAUUAUGAAGGCGAAAAAUGGCGGAUGCAUCGAAAGAUUAUCAACCCUGCUUUCUACACAGAAAAAUUGAAGGUUAUAUAAAUACUAAUUCCAUUGACUAUGUUGUUAUAAAUUUAAUUUCUUAGUAAUAUCUACGAAAGAAUUAAAUUAGUGACAAAAAUAAGAGACUAAAAAUAGAUUUUGUAUCCAAUUCUCUCGUCAUUAAAUUUAAUGACAUGGAAUUGUUUCUUGUCGAUAAUUUUUCUCGCAAAUUCAAACUUUUAGUAGGAUAUUAAGCAAGAACUUUAGAAUACAUAUUAUAAAACAUGGUUUACUUGAUUUACUCCAUAUACCAAGUUUAUCACUCUUGUUAUGUUUUCAUAUGCUGCAGAUUAUGUCACCUAUAUUUUCCCAAAGUUGUGAUGAAAUGAUUAGAAAAUGGGAAGAUAUAUCUUCAGAUGGAAAGUUCGAAAUCGAUGCAAAGACUUUUCUCCAGAUUUUGACGUGUGAUGUCAUAUCGAAAACAGCGUUUGGAAGCAAUUAUGAAGAAGGACAAAGAAUAUUUGAACUACUAAAAGAACAAGCUCAACUUAUUAUGAAAUUACGCAACGUUUACAUUCCAGGAUGGAGGUAAGACCAAAAACUGACGGAAUGAUCUUGAAUUUUUAAGUCUGGAAUGAUCUUUUUGAAAACCUAAAUUGAUUUAUUAGCUUGUUUCAAGGUCUAUUUCAUAUUCUUUAAAUUAGUAAUUUAACAUAUUUUUCUAUAACGUUGCUAACAUAGUUUUAAGUAUAUAUAUGAUGUAUUUGAAGGUAUAUACCAACAACUACACACAGGAGGAUGACAGAAAUCGACAAAGAUAUCCAAGCAUCGCUAAUGGCUAUAAUCAACAAAAGAAAGAAAGCCAUGAUGGCUGGUGAAGUCCUAAACAACGAUUUACUAGGUAUACUUUUGGAAUCAAAUCAGAAAGAAAUACAAGAAAAUGGAAACAAUAAGAAUGUUGGAAUGAGCGACCAAGAAGUACUCGAGGAAUGCAAUGCAUUCUAUCUAGGAGGCCAAGAAUCCACAUCAGUUCUGCUUGUUUGGACAAUGAUAUUGUUGAGUAGAUAUCCUGAUUGGCAAGCACGAGCUAGAGAGGAAGUUUUGCAAGUUUUUGGCGACAAAAUGCCUAACAGCGAUGGAAUAAGUCGCCUUAAAAUAGUAAGCGCCACAUAGUUACUUUCUCUUGAUUUAAAACUCAUUAUUUUUAGGGUAAGAAUCGAAUUCAGUAUAUAAGAGUUUACAAUACUCACACCCUAUGCAUCAACCAUUUGCGCUAGACUCAGGUGGUGAUUGAAACCUCAUUUAAGUGCUUGAAAUUAUAUGAUAAGUUUACAAAAGAUGUCUUUGAAAGUAAUGCAUAUGUACUAAAAUGACAAACAAUUUACUUUGUGAUUAACACAAUUUACUUUGGUCAUUGUUACUAUUGAUUAAAUCCUUUUGGUGGUUACUCCUAAUAUAAGUUUUUUUGUAUCAUAGGUGACAAUGAUUCUCUAUGAGGUACUAAGGUUAUACCCACCGGUAAUUUACUUCAAUCGAGUAGCUCGCAAAGAUGUGAAAGUUGGAAGUCUUUUCCUCCCCGCAGGAGUACAUGUUUCCUUACCAAUACUCUUAAUUCACCACAAUCGCGAUAUUUGGGGAGAUGAUGCCACUGAGUUCAAUCCAGAGAGAUUUUCGGAAGGAAUCGCAAAAGCAACAAAAGGCCAAGUUUGUUUUUUCCCAUUUGGUUAUGGUCCUAGAGUUUGCAUGGGGCAAAACUUUGCUUUAUUAGAAGCAAAGAUGGUUUUGUCACAACUUCUACAACGUUUCUCAUUUGAACUUUCCCCUAACUAUGUUCAUGCUCCAACAACUGUAUUCACUCUUAAUCCAAAACAUGGGGCUCAUAUCAUUUUCCACAAAUUAUAGUGUGCUAUGAAGCACAAACGCUUCUCAGAUUAGGCAUGUCCUGGUGUCGGACAUGUGUCGUGUCCGACGCCGACACUUGUAAUUACACUGAAUUAUGUGAUUUUUUCAAAUUAUUAACCGUGUCGGCGUGUCAGUGUCCGUGUCAUGUCCGUAUCCGUGCUUCAUAGAUUUGAAUUGCUAGAUUUGAAUGCCUCUUCUAUAAAUAUUGUAGGCCUAGGGGAAUGCCUCUUCUAUAUCAUAUUGAGUGCUAGACUUGAAUUGCUAAAGAGCUAUAUCCAUAAUUUGAAGAUUAUCUAUUUAUAGCAUGUUGCGAAGAUUCUUAACCUUUUUUUUAUAUGGAAAAUGGUUUACCGUAAUUAAGCCGAUGUGUGUGUACAUUUAUAUGGCUGUGUAUGUAUAGACACGGAUCUACAUAUUUGCUUAAAAAUAAGCGCAAAUGAGAAUGGUGAUUUGAUGUCCUGGUAGGAUCGUAUGCGAGAAGCACUUUGACGCUCAAGUUAAUGGAAGAUUAAGGUGAGUUAAUAGUAGUAAAAAUUGAUGAGUACCAUGUUUUUAUAAGAAAGGCCUAUUAUAUAGUGGAGUGAUUCAGGAGAAAUGGAGGAAAAGUGUAUUGAGAGCGUUGAGCAAGUGAAUCUCUCCUUAACAAGCAAGUCAAUCAAGAUCAUGUAGUGAUAAUCCUUGAAGAGAUGUCACACAUGUGGAUUUGGACUCGUAAUGAGGAAAUCCUAUUCAGAUGUGCUUUGGUCGGUCCAAACUAUCAAUAGAUAUUUUUUUUUUAAGAAAUCAAACUAACUCACCUAAAUUAACAUUAGGGUGAAUCAAAUUGAGAUCUUGAGAGGAGCACAAUUAAAGAUCUCAAGUCAAUAUCAUGUGGCUAAUUCAAGUGGGUUACUCGAUAAGGAUAGUUUUAACCAUGAGUUAAACUUGGGUACUCUGGAUUCAAUUAAUCCUAAGUGAAGUUCAUUAGCUGCUUCAUUUCUUCUUCUUUUGGUAGAAAUUAUUUUUUUUUGGUAUGAAACUUGCAUAUACUGUUUUACAAUGUAUAAGCAUUAAAAUUUUGGAUGGAAAUACACAUGGAUUGAGAAAUUUAUGAAAUGGGGGACAAAUCAUCUGAACAUAUAUUUGUUUUUUAAUAGUAUGGAAAAUGUAUUCAAUCUAUAUCUCUAUGUUGAUUUCUCCACUUCUCUAUUCAAUCUUUAUCAAUCAAAAUCAUGAUUCCUGCUCUUGCUCUCCCUCAUUUGUUGCUUUUUCAAGGAUGCAUCUUGGUGUGUUUAGAAAUUCAUCAUUUCUUGCUACAAUUAUUGAUUGAUAUUAGAGAAGGAAAAAGUAACAUCCUUUGGUCAGAAUUUUAUCCUAGUUGAGUUGUACCUUUACACGUCUUUCUUUGGUGGUCAAUCAUACUAUACCUUAUCCUUCGUCUCUAGACCUCACUACGAUUUCAAUUGUUGAAAAGAAACCAUAGCAACAUUAUGUUUUGACUACUCCAUCAUUAUUCAUUUUGAGAUUUAAUGUCUCUGUUGUCAAAUUAAGCAUCCUCUCAGCCACAUGUAUGACUUGUCAACAUAUUUUUAGAUUAAUAAUCUAAAAGACCAUUUAUAGUCGAUUUGAGUGAACAUCUAUAUAUAUAUAUAUAUGAGAUUUGUUAGAACACACCCACUAGUUUUUAUGUGAGAGUGUUUUAGCAAGUUAUAACUAAAAAGUUAAUAAAUACACCUUAAGGUGUAUGUUGCUAUAACACACCUUCUUAAAAAACAAGUGGGUGUGUUCUAGCAAAUCCUAUAGGCACUUGCUACAAUACACCCACUUAUUUUUUAGAUGGAGUAUUUUAGCAAAUCAAUAACUAAAAAGUGGUUAAAUACACCCUAAGGUGUAGCUUUGCUAAAACACUCCCACAUAAAAAUUAGUAGGUGUGUUCUAGCAAACCCCUAUAUAUAUAUUGACCUUUGACAAUAUGCGAAAGAUAUUGGUUUACUUGUUAGGAUUACUAGACUUUAGACCCGUGCGUCGCACGGGUCAUUUCGACUAAUAUAUAAGAAUAAGUAAUUGUAAAAAAAAUCCUAAAAUAAAUAAAAGAUGAAGAGUAUUAUACAUUUUACUUACGCAAGUUCAAAAAAUAAAGUAGGAGAUUACAUGAAAUCGUUUAGUUGAAACAAACGAAUAUUAAAAAAUAAAAAUUAGACAACGACAGGGAUCUAAAAUUUUAUUUCCAACCCUUCACAUAUCAAAAUUAGUCCCCCGUCCUUUUGUAUAUAUCUUUUUCCCCAUAGGAUGGAGGUAUCUCGGGGUACCACUCUAGUUGGAAUGUCGAUGAUGUCUCAUGAUGCCUGUCCUCUCUCCUUGCUUAUCAAAAAAAAAAAAAAAAAAUCCUUCACAUAUCAAAAUUACAAUUGGUUCUCUUCAUUGUAAUCAUCUAAACUUAAUUAAAAAAUUUGCAAGUGCAAAUAGAAUCGACAUUAUACAAAUUGGUCACUACUUGAUUCCAAAAACCUAUGUUAUAUGAAAACCACUCAUACCUAAAUAACAAUAAUAAACCUUCAAAACAUAAAUCAACUAUUCUCAAAGGACCAAAAAGAAAGAUUUUUAGCCUUCAAAAUCACAAUUCCUCUUGUUGUAUUGUUUUUAUGUCAAAAGCACCAUAAGUUGAAUAGUAGGCUCAUGCACAUGACUUUCCUCAUAAGACAAAAACACAUGUUUUUUAUAGGUAGAAAAAUAAAUCAAAUAUCCUUAACUUUCAAUAACGUUUAGAAACAACUGAAACUUUUGCAUUAUCUCAAUCCACAAACAAAAUAGAAGACCUUUAUAUUUGUUUUAGGCACCUUAAGGAAUUCUAUGUAAAUUGUUUUCCUGCAAUGAAAUGCUAAACACAAUGUGCAAAGAAGAAGAAUUAACAACAAUAUUCGGAUUGUUUUAUUUAGCUUACAAUUCUUUAAACUAAUCAACAAAAAAUUAAAUUUGCAUUAUAUACUCCACAAUAUCAAGAAUUUUUCAAAGGGGUCAUUCUAUUUGUAUGGCUAUGAUGAGAACUCAUGUGUGUCCAUGAAGAGCAACUCUACGGAUAAGUGUUAUCUAUAGAAUUGGUAUUGCCAUUCAUAAAGCCUCUAAUAAAAAAUAUUAUUAUGACUACAAAACAACAAAUCAGCAAAGCAGUUUAGAAAAGAGUGAAGACAAUAAUUUUUACCUAAAGAGGAUUAUGUUAUAGUUAACAUUCACACAUGCAGCUAAAUGCCUGGUUCAUAUUCAUACCCUCUGUCGAAGCAUGUCCUACGUUUUAUACACUAAAUAUAUUAUGUUGUCACAUUUCCAAAGUGCGGGACAGAAAAAGAAGACAUUAAAUGUUAACAACUAAAAAGUGUAACAUCUAAGAGAACAAAAUGCGGGACAAAAACAUUGUUAACCAACUAAAAGACAGAAACAAAUCCCUUGUAGUUAAGUCUAUAAUUUCUAUAAAAUAUAGCAUGAUCACUUUUCACCACCUGCUAGAAGUUUUCACAAAGUGAAAAUCAAAUCAAUGUAUAUUUUCUGAGUUAUAAUCUUAAAUAUUGCAAAUGAAAGUUAUAUUUAUAAAAUCUCCUUACCAAAUGAAGAGACUAAACUCUUACUCACCCACCAAUAACAUUAGCAAUUGUUGCAUUGUGAGGACCUGCAACUGCACAUGAUUUUUACUUCAAGAUAGGUACUAUUUGAGUUGUGCACACAUAAAUAAAGAAACAAAAUAAAAGAAGACACUUAAAUCCCUCAAUAAAUUGUUUAUUUGUUUCAUUUAGGGGAAGACUAAACAAAGCUAAUACGGCAUUCUAUCGAAGGAAGGAAUGAAGAAAAGCGAAUGCAUACUUACGUUUAAUUGAAAGAAAAUGAACACGGAAAAAGAUCAUAAUAUCGACAUCGUAGUAAAACUGCAACAAUGGAGAAUCUGAAAAAUUGUAAAAUCAAGAUUAAGAAAAUAAGAGACAGAUGCCGUAAAAAAAGAAAGUCCAAAUUGGAAAGAGAAUAAAAUCUGGAUGCUUAGAUUAAAAUUAUGAAGAGAAUUUAGCAAGACUGAUACUUCAUUACAUUGAAAAGCAAAAACUGAAGAAUCAAAUGUUUGAUUCAACAACUGAAAAUAAAGCAAAAAGAUGGAGCAGCAAACACUCCAUUAUAUGAAUCUGGAUUAUUAACCAAAGGACCUGUUGCAUCAAUACAGUAAAAAUAAAAAGUGUUACAAAACAUCUUUAAGCAUGAAAACAUACGCAAAAAUCAGACCAUAGCAUCAGAUAUACCCGUUAAGCAGUGAUACGACAACAACAUUUUUCAAUAUUACCACUUGAUAUUCUUUGAAUGAAUGAUUGAAGGGAGAAAUUCUCUGAACGAAUGAUUAAAGGGAUAAAUAAGGAUGUGUUUUAUUCAAUUCUGUAUGGUACACAUUUAUAGUGAGAAGGAGAAUUGAUACGUGAAAGUGCUUUGGAAGAUUUGAUACGUGAAAGUGCUUUGGAAACAGCGAAAUUUGUGGUGAGUUAGAGUCUGGGUCGUGGUUAAUAUUAGAAGGGAAUUUGAAUUUUGCAAUCGCAAAAAUGGGAAGCCUGAUAUAAUGGAAAGCCUAACAAAUUAUGAUUAAAUAAUCCCUUAAUUAAUGCACACAAAUUGGAAAAGGUGCAACAAACUUACAGGAAUUUGUUAGGUUAUUUUUUUUUGAAAAAGGGAAUUUGUUAGUAGCGAAAAUAGGAUUGGAUUGAAUUUAGUAGUGAGCUGUUGUUUUUUAUUUCAGAAGCAUUUGAAAAUAACAUUUUGAUUAAAUGGAAAUAAUCGGAAGAAUUUGUUAAUAAGAAUGAUUUUUUUUUAUUUUAUGUUUAUCUGUUUAUUGUUGUGCUGGAAACAAAAUAGAAGGAAAUUGUAUUUUUUUUUUUUUUGUAUGUUUAUCUGUUUAUUGUUGUGUUGGAAACAAAAUAGGAGGAAAUUGUUAAAGGAAUAGGAGGAACGAUUUUUAAAGUUUAUCUCUUAAUUAAACAGGUUUAAUUGAACACGGGGUAAAUAACGUAAAAGUAAUCAUAAAAUUUAGAUUAAAAUUAGGUUAAAAAUUGAUUUACGGGUUAACUUUUAUAUAUAAAGAUGAUUUUGUUUCGUUAAUGCCCCAUAAAUUUCUGAACAUUUUAGAAAUGUUGUUAGGUGUCUGGCUAACUUAACCACCACUAAUCUAAAACUAUGUAAGGGGGAAUGCCCAAAAUCAUAAUCAUUUUGAUUGUAUUAUCUUUGGGGUUAAAUAUAUGUUUAAUCCUUAUAAAUUUGUCAACUUUUCGUUUUAGUUCCUCUAAAAAAUUUCUUUAACUUUUAGUCCUUCAAAAAAUUUUCAUCUUUAUUUUUGGUCCCUCCUUUAAAGUAAACUCAUAAUUAGAAUUCAUAUUUUUGAAUAAAAUUUUGCAGAAAAAUUUAUAAUAUUAUAACCCUCAUAAAAAUUAGAUUUUUUUAACAAAACAUGAAUUUUUAUAUUUUUGACGGUUAAAAAUUCAUAUUUAAUAUAUGUUUUGUUAAAAAAUUCUAAUUUGUUGAGUGAUUUUUACAUUAUUCUACACAUUUCGGUACAAUUUCAUUAAAAAAUACAAAAAUUAACUUAAAAAUAAGGACCAAAUAUAGUGAUUGAAAAUUUUAUACAGUCUAAAAGUGGAAGAAAAAUUUUAGAGGGACUAAAACAAAAAGUUAUUAUAUUUAUCGGGACCAAAAACACAUUUAACUUUUAUCUUUUUUUUUGUUUUUGAAGAAGCUAAACUAACCCCCUCAAAUUGGCACCAGAGAAAAUCGAACAUGAGUCCUUGAGGAGGAGCACACUCCUAGGUCCCAAGCCAAUACCACUAUUGUAGCAUUUGAGUGAAUCAAACUUAAUUUCCUUGUAAAAAAUUUAAAAAAUAAGUUCUCAACAGCACAAAAAGAAUCCUCAAAGUCAAGUUUAUGUGGCCAAAAAGAACAAAGAGCCUGAAGUGGUGAACCUUGAGGGUUCAGCAUCAAAGAUUAGAAACCAGGAUGAUAUUAAUCUUGAAAUAGAGGUUAAUGAAGAACUGACAAAAAGGAGAGAAGAUAUAGCAAAAGUUUGAAUGAAAAAUCAUGAGGUGAGUAACAGGGCACAAAGUCUGAAUCAAGGUAAAACAAUGAUUGAAGAUUCUGGAAGCACUAAUGGUUCAAAAUUUGUUGAUGCUACACAACAAGUCAAUUAUGAAAAUGAAGAUUCUGAGAAUAAUGCAAGUGAAGAGGAGGAGGUUGCAUCAGAAAACAGUGCUAAUGAUGAUGAUCAAGCAGUCCUGCAACAAGAUAUCUAGUUCUUAAAAGAGUCAUGGUCCAACCUUGUUGAGAUGAAGCCAAUGAUGGUGACUUUGAACAAGAUCUCAAUGCUGUCAAUACAGGUCAGGAGGCAAAUACAUCUAGAAACUUGAUUGGUAAGUUACCUGCAGAAACAUCUUUGUCCAAAGAAGCAGAUGCUCUUAACCUUGAUGUUGAUGAACAAGGGUUUCAGAUUGUUACUAGCAAAUCAACAAAAGAAAGCUUCAAAGAAAUCUAGUACUCAGAGGAUCUCAAAGUCAAAACCUUAUCUUGCCAGAUCAAAGGUUGGUCCUCCCAAACCUUUUAGAUGAGUGCUAUUGGAACUUCAGAGGUUUAGCUAAUACUCCCACAAAAUUAGCUUUAAAGAAACUUCUUAUUAAAUAUAAGCAUGAUAUAUGUUUUACCUAUGAACCCUAGAUGUCUAUUAACAAUCAUUCCCCUAGAUGGCUCCAUAACCUUGGAAGAAGAAGAACCCUUUGGUCUGUCAUCUCUAAUAUCCAAACCCAAUACAAAAUCCCUUGGAGUUGUGUUGGUGAUUUCAAUACAAUAUUGGGAUCAAAUGAACACAAAGGUAUUCAUGAACCUACUAGGUUACUGAUGGUCGGAUAUGACAAGUGUACGAAAUCUUUUACCAUGUAAUAAAGUGAUAAGUAGAGUAUCGUAUCAACAGGGAUUGUCAUUUCGUCCCAACAAUUUGCGUUACUUAUUUUUGUAAUUUUGACAGUAUAAAAGAUAGGUUGCAAUUUUUAUCUGUUUGCAACAGAGCAAGUUUACAUGUUUUUGGUUGCAGAAAAGUAAGCAGCGGUUAGGAUUUUUCGAAUCCCCCUGUUCAUAUUGUUGGAUAUCAAGUAACAAUAAUGUCGCAUUUAUUUAUCUUAGGUAGACUAUACAAGUGAUGGGAUCGUUGGGACGUUACUAAUCUAAUUUGGUUUAUCCCUCCGAUGGACAACUACACCUGCUGAACGCACGGUGAUCCUUACGUGCGGGGUCUUGCUAAUUCAAAGGUAACUGAAACAUAAACUUAAAUUGGCUUUCCAGUGUUUCCCAAGACAAUGAAGGCCAAGGUUCCCUUAGGUCUGCCCAUCUAUGAAUCUUAGGAUACUCAUAACACACUCUCUAUGUUUUUAGCAGUUCUACAAAUGGACAACCCUAAUCUACGUCUACCUUACUAAGGGUUUCAAGAGAAUGGUUCUAUUAGGCUACAAAUUAUUUCCUUUAGUUAGGCACUUGUUUACCUAAUUACUAACUAGUUACAUCCUAGGUUCGGUAGAGCACCACUCAGUCUUAGUAAUGUCAUCUCUUAAGUACCUACAACUAUGGUAAACUCUCUAUCGGUAUCUUUCGGUAGUUAAUAAUCACUUACUUCCUAGACAAAUAAUUAUCAGUAGGCAAUAUUGCCAAAGGCUUUGUUUUAUGUCAAUUUUGUAGGCAAUAUUGCCACCAAAAAAUUUCUUCUCCGACAAGUUAACUGCCUCCGAAGCAACAACAAUACGAUUUUGAGUGCUUCUUUUAGAUGAAACAUAUCUUAUAAAAACAGUACUUUAAUAGUAAGAAUAUCUAUAUUGGGUAUGAUUUUUAUAAAUAAAUUAUAAUAAGUAAAUUGUAGUUAUCUCCGUUUUUGUUUACAUUAUCUAAUUAAAUAGUGAGAAACAACUAACAUGUGUAAAAAAAUAUUAUUGUCCCACCACACUACAAAACUUAUGCUCCAACGUAUGUAAUAAAAUAAUUAAUUCUUUAGAUUUUUUUAUUCUUAAAAAAACAAUUAAAAAACACUAUGUGUCAAUAUUAUAGAUGGUGGUAGUUUUGUAAUUUUAUUAAUAAUAUAUUUUCUCAAUUCUCCCAUGGAUAAGUCUAUCGUGAAAAUAUGUCAUAUGAAAAUUAAAAAUAUUGGUUUAAGUUUUAGUUGCUAAUAAAAUUAUUGGUUUGACCAUGAGACUCAAUAAUAUAAGAAAAGACAAAGUUCUAUACACCCACAAAAAAAAAGUGAGUAGUCUAUGUCAUGCUGAGUUGAUACCAAUCAAAAUCAUUUAUUUAUCGUAUAAUAUUUUUGUUGAUAGAUAAUACACUUGUCACACCAAAGGUAACUUUAAUGCGUAAUAUAUUAUGGCCCACUUCCAUUUAUAUUCGACAACUAAUAACUUUUCAUUGUUAGGUCGGAUGUCAUGAUCGAGGUUCGAACUUCGGUACCUCCACUUAUGUGUAAGAGUUUAUAAUGACUUUGUCAUUUCGUCUAUCUACCAAAAAAAAACUUUACAUUGGAUUGGUCAUAAUAUGACAUUGAAUGUUUGGAAAUUUAGUGUCCACCAACCAUAAAACCAACUACUUAGUGUACAAUCUCAAGCAUUCAUAUUAUUAUUUUGAGAAAUGAUAUUUCUAAAAUCAUUUUUCGACAAUUUUUAAAAAAUUCCUCUCACUCAUACUCGCAUGUGUUUUUAUUUUCUCUCUUCUUCUUUUUCUCUCUAUUGUUUUUGUCCAAUAAAUAAAGAGAAAAAAUAGUUGUCACAAAAGUUGUCUAAAAUUUUUGUACAAAUAUCAUUCCUAUAUUAUCUUAUGAGCAAUGAUAUUUGUACAUCCAUUUAAUGACAAUUUUGGUGACAACUUUGCUUUUCUCUCUUUUGAUUGGUCAAAAACAAUGGAGAGAGAAAAAGGAAGAGAGAGGAUAACAACAUAGUAUGAGAGAUAAAGUUGUCAAAAAGUUGUAGCAAAAUGGUUGUACAAAUAUCAUUUCUCUUAUCUUAUAGGUUUAAAUAUGUGAUUAGUCCUUGCACUUUCACCCAAUUUUAGCAUUGGUCCCUGCGCUUUGUAAAAGCUUUAGUUUUGGUCCUUCUAUUAAGUCUCAAUUUAAAAAAAAAUAUCAAAACUAACGGUGUGCUACGUGGACCAAUUAUUCUACACCAUGUGGCACACUAAAAGACAAAAAAAAUCCAACUUUUUAAUUAUUAAUUUAUUCAUUAUUUUUUAAUUAAAAAUAUCAUUAGUCUUCGCACUUUCAACAUUUUUUUAUAUUAGUCCAUGCACUUUGAUAUUAGUCCUGCAAACUUUUUUUUUUUUUUUUUUUACAGUUUGAAUUAAAUUAUUAUGGUUUAUUAUUAUUUUGUUCAUUAUUUUUAUUGAGAAUAAUUAUAAAAAAAAAUAAAAAAUAUUUCUUCUCCUCAGAAGCAACAACAAUACGGUCAUAUGUGCUUCUUUUAGAUGAAACAUAUAUUAAAAAACAAUAAUUUAAUUAAUUCUCUAUUAAGAAAUAUCUAUAUUGUGUAUGAUUUUUAUAAAUAAAUUAUAAUAAAUUAAUAGUAGUUAUCCCCAUUUUUAUUUACAAGAUGUAAGAAAUUAUCUAAUUAAAAAAUAGCGACAAACAACUCACAUGUGUAAAAAAAAUUAUUGUCCAACGACAUUAUACAAAACUUAUGCUCCAACAUGUGUAAUAUAAUAAAUUUUGUAAAUUUUUUUUCUUAAAAAAAUAAUUAAAAAACACUAUGUGUCAAAAUUUGAGAUGGUUGUAGUUUUCUAAUUUUAUUAGUAAUAUAUUUUCGCAACUCUCCCAUGGACAAGUCUAUAAUGAAAAUGUGUCAUGUGAAAAUUAAAAAUAUUUGUUUAAGUCUUAGUUGUUAAUUAAAAUUACUGGUUUGGCCAUAUGAUUCAAUAAUAUCAGAAAAGACAAUCUAUACACCCACAAAAAAGAUGAGUAGUGUAGGUUAUACUGAGUUGAUACCCAUCAAAAUCAUUCAUUUAUCGUAUACUAUUUUUGUUAAUAGAUAAUACACUUGUCACACCAAAGGUAACUUUUAAUGCGUAAUAUAUUAUGGUCCAAUUUCUUAUAUAUGCGACAACUAAUAAUUUACAUUGGAUUAAUCAUAAUAUGACAUUGAAUGUCUAGAGACUUAGUGUCCACCAACCAUAGAACCAACCACUUAGUGUACAAUCUCAGGCAUUAAAUAUUAUUAUUUUGAGAAAUGAUAUUUGUACAAUUAUUUUUUGACAAGUUUUAAAAAAUUUCAUUUCUUUGAUACUCACAUGUGUUUUUAUUUUAUCUCUUCUUCUUUUUCUCUAUAUUGUUUUUGUCCAAUAAUAAAAGAGAAAAAAUGGUUGUCACAAAAGUUGUCUAAAAUUUGUUGUACAAAUAUCAUUCAUCGAUUAUCUUAUAGGCUUAAAUAUGUGAUUAGUUCCUGCACUUUCACCCAAUUUUGACAUUGGUCCCUGCACUUUGUAAAAUCUUUAGCUAAUCAUUCCACACCAUGUGGCACACUAAAAUACAAAAGAAAUCCAACUUUUUAAUUAUUAAUUUAUUCAUUAUUUUUUAGUUAAAAAUAUCAUUAGUCUUCGCACUUUCAACAUUUUUUUAUAUUAGUCCAUGCACUUUGAUAUUGGUCCUGCAAACGUUUUUCUUAUUUUUAAAAAAAAAAAAUGUUUGAAUGAAAUUAUUAUGCUUAAUUAUUAUUUUGUUCAUUAUUUUUAUUGAGAACAAUUAUAAAAAAAAUUAAAAAAUCUUUCUUCUCGGACAAGUUAUCUGCCUCAGAAGCAACAACAAUACGGUCUUGAGUGCUUAUUUUAGAUGAAGCAUAUAUUAAAAAAAAAACACUAAUUUAAUUAAUUCUCUAGUAAGAAAUAUCUAUAUUGUGUAUGAUUUUUAUAAACAAAUUAUAAUAAGUAAAUUGUAGUUAUCCCCGUUUUUAUUUACAAGAUAUAAAAAUUAUCUAAUUAAUUUAGUGACAAACAAAUGAUAUGUGUAAAAAAACUUAUUGUCCAACGACACCGUACAAAAGUUAUGCUCCAACAUGUGUAAUAUAUAAUAAAUUCCGAUAGAUUUUUUUUCUUAAAAAAAAUAACUAAAAAACACCAUGUGUCAAAAUAACUGAUGGUGAUAGUUUUGUAUAUUUUCUCAACACUCCUAUGGAUAAAUCUAUAGUGAAAAAUUGUCAUAUGGAAAUUAAAAAAAUUGGUUUAAGUCUUGUUGCUAAUUAAAAUUAUUGAUUUGGCCAUGAGACUCAAUAAUAUAAGAAAAGACAGUCAUAUACACCCUAAAAAAUGGUGAGUAAUGUAGGUCAUACUGAGUUGAUAUCCAUCAAAAUCAUUAAUAUAUCGUAUACUAUUAUUUUUGAUAGAUAAUACAGUUGUCACACCAAAGGUAAUUUUAAUGCAUAAUAUAUUAUGGCCCACUUACUUAUAUAUGCGACAACUAAUAACUUUACAUUCGAUUGGUCAUAAUAUGACAUUGAAUGUUUGAAAACUUAGUGUCUACCAACCAUAGAACCAACCACUUAGCGUACAAUCUCAAACAUUCAAUAUUAUUAUUCUGAGAAAUGAUAUUUGUACAAUCAUUUUUUGACAAUUUUUGAAAAAGAAAUCCUCUAUCUCAGACUAAUAUGUGUUUUUAUUCUCUUUCUUCUUAUUUUUCUCUCUAUUGUUUUUGUCCAAUAAAAAAAGAAAAAAAAUGGUUGUCACAAAAAUUGUCUAAGAUUUGUUUUACAAAUAUCAUUCCUCUAUUAUUUUAUAGGCUUAUGUAUCAGUCUCUGUACAUUCGCCUAAUUUUGGCAUUGGUCCCUGCACUUUUUUCGUUUGGUAUUUAUCCUUACACUUUGUAAAAUCUUUGGCUUUUGUCCUUCUGUUAAGUCUCAUUUUAAAAAAACGGUAUGCUACAUGGACCAAUCAUUCCACGCCACGUGGCACACUAAAAGACAAAAAAAUCCAACUUUUUAAUUAUUAAUUUAUACAUUUUUUUAGUUAAAAAUAUCAUUAGUCCCCGCACUUUCAGCAUUUUUUGACAUUAGUCCUUGCACUUUGAUAUUGGUCCCUAAACUUUUUUCUUUUUAUUUUUUUAAAAAAGUUUCAAUGAAAUUAUUAUGUUUUAUUAUUAUUUUGGUUCAUUAUUUUUAUUGAGAAUAAUUAUAAAAAAAUUAAAAAAAUCGUUGUAAAAAAAAUUAAACUUUAUCUUAUUAAAAUGAAAAUUGCAUCGCAUUAACACCAUGACAAUAGAUUUUAAUUUCCAUCUAUAAUUGCAAAUGAAAAUUGCAUCGCAUUAAAAAAAUUAAGCUUUAAUUGUAUUUUUUUUAAUAAAUUAAGCUUUAAUUGUAUAAUUAAAUGGAUUGCCAAUGUGAAAUUUAAUUUCCAUCUACUUUGUUAAUUUUCAUCUAUUGUCAUGGUGUUAUUGCGAUGCAAUCUCCAUUUGCAAUGCGAUAUAAUUAAAGCUUUAUUUUUAAAAAAAAAAAAAGAUUUGUUUUGUUUUAUAAUUAUUCUCAAUAAAAAUAAGGAACAAAAUAAUAAUAAUAAAACAUUAUAAUUUCAUUCAAAGUUAUUUUAAAAAAGAAAAAGAAAAAGGUUCAGGGACCAAUAUGAAAGUGCAGGGAUUAAUAUCGAAAAAUGUUGAAACAACACUAAUGAUAUUUUUAAUUAAAACAAAACCUGUUUGGAAACCUUCGAAAGACAACCCAUCGGAAACCGGAUCCUCCCGGGCCUUUGAAGCACCCUCCGCUAUUACAAACAUGGUUCCAACCACUUCAGCUCCGGCACAAGACCCUAAGGGUCCGAAGCAACAUGACACUCAAACCACAUUUUUUCUUUUGAAUUACAAAAUGUUACAGACGACGUUGUUCUAGGUACUCUCCCGACGAGUACGGUGUUUGAAAUGGAUCCACUAGUAGCGCAUAAUGGCGUGCAUUUUGAUGAUGUGGAGCAGUCUAUUCCCGUAAUUCGGGAAGAGCAGUUGGUUCCCCGACUCAUGGAGGCGACGACUACACUUUCAUCUUCUGCGCAUAAUGAUGUGAAAAUUUUCUCUGAUGAAUCGGCUUCCUCCGCUUUCACUAGGGAGGACUCACCGGCACAGCAAGAGGUAGCCCAAGAUGGCGUGCAGGCAAAUCGGAAGACGAUGCCAAUCUCUGCUUUUCAAAACCAACGACUUUAAGCCCGUUUAUUUAUGGCUUCGUAACUCCCAUCGGGAAUAUAAUAUGAAGAUUCUCAUUCCUCAAGUAGUGUUCCCCUAGUGAAUGUCUUGGUAGAAGAUAUGAUUUCGUUAAAUUUAGGAUUAUUCGUUUUUAAAUAAGCCCUUAACUCAACGAGAAAUUUCCAUACCUGAUCAAUUUCUAAUGAAUCAAGAUAACCAUUCGUUCCAGUAUAAAUAGUUAUUAUUUGUUCUUCCACAGUGAGAUGAGCUGAUUGGGAAUUGUUUAAGCAACUCGCGCAAUCGUCGACCUCUUGCCAAUUGAUUUUGCGUAGCUUGUAUCAAUUAUCAUUUCAACGAUCAACUUCUCCAAUAAUGAUAUCUACUCCUGACUAUGAAACCAAAGAUAUUGAUAUCUUGGCAGCAUUCCGAGUAAGUCCUCAACCUGAAGUUUUCAAUUUCCUCUUGUUCGUUCAAUCCCGGUAGAGACAGAAUUGAUGGCUGAGAUGGAGAGACUAGACCAAGAAGAUCCCCAGGCAUUUAAUGCAUCCAAUGUUUCGCUUCAGGAUGGUGAAAGAAACUCAAUUACUAUGGAGGAAGCUCAAAUUAAUCCCAAAAUUCAGGAUAGCUUGGAUUUAUGGCAGCAUAUCCGUGCAAAUGAUAAAGAAAAUGCAGUCAGCCAAUUUAUUCCGGUUUUAUCAAAGAAACAGAAGCAACAAGUCAAGAAACAACUUCAAAUUGCAGAUCAGGCCUCAGAAAAUCCAGUCACGGUUCCUACAGACACUACCGGCUCCGCAAUGGCUACCUCUUCAGCAAUUGUAGAAACUGAUGUUAAUUUGAUAGGGAGCCCCCCCAUGGUGAUGUUAGACAGGCUUCCAACGGAGUUACAUAUGGAUUUCUUUCGAGGCAGAAUUGGCUUGCUCAAUUAUAAAUUUUAGUAGUCAUUUUUUAUGUUUUCUUUUGUUUUUUCUUUGAGGGUUUUGGCCUAGUCCCCCCUCCCCUUGUAUAUUUUUUUUCCCUUUUUUUAAUAAAAUUUUAGAGUUAGACGGCCAUAGGACGGAGGAUUCCCGUGGUGCCAACCUAGUUGGGAUGUCGAUGUGGCUUCCUGGUGUCUGUCUUUCUCCCUGCUUAGAAAAAAAAAUAAAAAAUUAAUGAAUAAAAUAAUAAUGAAAAAGUUGUUUUUUUUUACAAGAAUUAAAAAGUUGUUAUUUUUUUGUGUUUUAGUGUUCCACAUGGCAUGGAAUGAUUGGUCAAUGUGGCACACAUUAGUUUUGAUUUUUUUUUAACGGAGAAUCAACAUAAGGACCAAAGCCAACAAUUUUACAAAGUGCAGGGACUAAUACCAGAUAAAAAAAAGUGCAGAGAUUAAUGCCAAAAUUGAAUGAAAAUGCAUAGACUAAUCACAUAUUUAAACCUAUUUUAUAUCAUGAAAGAUGCUCUAAGAAAAUCCAAAAAGAAUAAGCCGUUCGAAUAUGACUAAGGCCCCGUUUGGAUGAACAACAUAUAUAGAUGCUUAUAGCAUUAGAGCUUACAUCAUAAGCUCUUAUACUUGAUAAGCUAUUUAUGUUUGGAUAUGUACACUAAAAAGUACUUAAAUAAAUUGAAGUGUUUGGAUGUGACAUUACAUAAGCAAUUAUCGAAAUUUUAAAUAUUUUUAAUUUAACAAAAAAAUCAAACAAUCGAACCACAAUUAUCAAUUUUUUUUUUGAUAAAAUUAAUCAAGAUGUAAAAAACAAUAUUAUAAUAUAUUAAUUAUAAUUAUAUAUAUAGUAUAAUCAAUAUUCGUCCUAAAAAAAUAUCAAUAUUCAUAUAAGACAAAAUUAACAUUAGAGGUGUAAAUAAAUAGUCUAAACAUCAUCAUACACAAAUAUAAUAAUAUAUGAUAAGCUUUCUUUUAAAAAAAAUUAUAAUAAUAUAAAUAUAAUAGUAGAAAAUAAUCACGUAUGUAAAAGUUUAAUAGUCUUACACCAUUGUUGAAAAAAUCUUUAUAAAUAAUAGUUAAAAACAAAAAUAAAAUAAAAUAGAUAUUAGUGUACAGUUUGUUAACAAAAAAAUACAAGUUAAGUUUGUUUUUUUAUUCAGUUCAAUUUGUUACGUAACAAAAAAAUAAUAAAAUUCUUCCUUAAAAAAAAUAAUAAAAAUCUUAGUUACGUGUUAUACUUUAGUAAGAUAAGUAUAACAAUUUUGUUACUCACGCAAAGAUAACUAACAAAAAAAAAAAUGUUUUGAAAAAGUGGAUCCUGAGAGAAUCGAAGGGGGUUACAUAAAUUCAUAAGCUCCUUGUUAAGCUGAAAAUUUAGGCUUAUUAAAAUAUGGCAUAAGCAGCUUAUGAACCUAUGAUAAGCUAUUUUUAUUUAUUUACCCAAACACCUUUAAAAAGGCUUAUGGGAGUAGAUAAGCCCACAUAAGCUCAAAAUAAGCCAAUCCAAACGGGGACUAAUUAAUUGGAAUAAAUUUUCCGAUAAGAGUGACAUAUAGAUAUACUUCAUCCGUAAAAUAUUACGAAUGAUUAACCUCACAAAGUUACAAUACAACUAUGAGGAAUUUCUCCCUCUCCAACAAGCCGGCCCUAGUCUUCUCUCUCUAGGUUUUUUUUUACAAUUUCUUCAUUGAGGGGUGGUUUUGGAUCAAUUUUUGACCUGAAAUCACCCCUCUUCAUCUUUUUCUCUUUAUUUCAAUCUAAAUAAGUGAUUUUCACAUAGAUCUAGGUUUUUUUUCUUUGUAAUUUCAUCAUCUAAGUGUGGUGAUUUGUUGUUCGUCGUCUUGUGCGGCGUUGUUUGAUUUUCCGUCUUCGUGCGGUGUUCAUUUGAUUCAUAUUGAAAGAUAGAUUGUUCAAUCAAAGAUUUGGGCGUCAACGUUGCAGAUCCGGAGGCAAUGGAUAUUCCAGUCACUUUAAUUCCGGAGGCAAUGGAUAUGCCGUUAUAUGCUAUUAACUUGGAUGUUGUGAGUUUGUUCGCAGAUUCAUCCUUUACAUUUUUAGCGGUGUUGAAUGAUGUAAUCUCUCGAUUUGAAUGAAUGAAUAUCAUUUUAUUUUUAUAUAAAAAAAAAAAAGAUAUACUUCAUCCGUUCCAUAUAAAAUCAAAGAAUUACAAAAUCAAAUCCAACAAAGGUUCCUUCUCCUUAGAUAAUUGUCUUGAUAUUAAACGUGAAACCGACAAAAAGUCUUCAAUGACAUAUGGUGUUGACUGUAUUCAGUGCAUAAAUUGACAUACUCCCUCCAUCUCAAAUUAUUAUAAGAAGAAAAAAAUCGCACUUAUUAAAAAAAUUAAAAUACAAGAAUAAUUUUUUGUUUUUUUAAAAAAAGUUUUAUAAGAAGAUGUAAAAACAAUUUUUAUCGAUUAUUAAUUUUUAAAAAAAUGAAAGAAAGAGAAAAUUAAAUGUAAUUUACAUUUAAUUUUAUAAGAAUAAACAAAAAUAAUAUAUAUUUCUCUACUCCUAGAAAAAUCUAUAUCAUUUAUGGGAGCAGAGAAGUAGAGAAGUAGUAUAUUUCAAAAUGAUAUCAAGGAAAUAACGACUUUUAUUUAUUUAGUUAGUUCUAUCUCCUUCAACAAAAAAUAUUUAUUUAGUUCUAAUGUUAAUUAAUUGGUUAAGUGGUAAGUGGUACGGUACUACUACCGGUUAAUGUCAAUUUUAGACUAUAAAUAAAUGAAUGAAUCUUAUUAUAUCAUCAUCUUCCCCUGUUAAUUUCUUUCAUCCACCAAUUAUCACUCUACACAAAAAUGGCUACAAUUACAUCCAUAAUUCUCUUCACCUUGUUGACACUCUUUUUCAUAUUGGCAUGGAGGAUUUUGAAUUGGUUAUGGUUGAAGCCAAAGAAGCUAGAGAAAUUCCUAAGAGAACAAGGACUAAAAGGGAAUUCAUAUAGGCUUUUAGUUGGAGACAUGAAUGAUCUUCUUAAGAUGAGAAAGGAAGCAACAUCUAANNNNNNNNNNNNNNNNNNNNNNNNNNNNNNNNNNNNNNNNNNNNNNNNNNNNNNNNNNNNNNNNNNNNNNNNNNNNNNNNNNNNNNNNNNNNNNNNNNNNNNNNNNNNNNNNNNNNNNNNNNNNNNNNNNNNNNNNNNNNNNNNNNNNNNNNNNNNNNNNNNNNNNNNNNNNNNNNNNNNNNNNNNNNNNNNNNNNNNNNNNNNNNNNNNNNNNNNNNNNNNNNNNNNNNNNNNNNNNNNNNNNNNNNNNNNNNNNNNNNNNNNNNNNNNNNNNNNNNNNNNNNNNNNNNNNNNNNNNNNNNNNNNNNNNNNNNNNNNNNNNNNNNNNNNNNNNNNNNNNNNNNNNNNNNNNNNNNNNNNNNNNNNNNNNNNNNNNNNNNNNNNNNNNNNNNNNNNNNNNNNNNNNNNNNNNNNNNNNNNNNNNNNNNNNNNNNNNNNNNNNNNNNNNNNNNNNNNNNNNNNNNNNNNNNNNNNNNNNNNNNNNNNNNNNNNNNNNNNNNNNNNNNNNNNNNGCCUUGGCUUGGCUUGGCAUGGGCAGGGGAAGGUCUAGUCCAGGCCGCGAAAAAAAAAUCCAAACCGGUAUGACCUUAAUAAUACGGGUGCGCAGGCGCGCGCGAGGAAUUUCCGCCCCCCGACGUGGUUUGGCCCGAGCACGUGCUCCCCGCGAGAUUUGGCCUACCACAAAAAUUUCGACAACGCGGGCGCGCGCUGGAGAUUUUUGCCUACGAAGGGCAACUCAGUAAAAGUAUCACUCUCUUUCUUUCAUCGUUACACUUUUCUUAAUCUGUGUGAAAUGGUCAAAUAGGUCACUUAUUCAGCGACGGAGGGAGUAUAUUUUAUGAUUGUUACUUUUUUCAUAAACACUGAUGAGUGUAAAAUGAAACAUGGUCUGAGAAUGUGUUUAUAGGUCAAGACAAUCAUCAUCUCACAAGUUAGUUUUGUAAUGAUGAGUCAAACCUAAUUUCAAAGUGGUAUUAGAGUCUAUUGAUUUGGGCCACCCACUAUUUAUACACAAAUCAAGCCCAACAAUGUUUAACAUGAGGUCCAUCUUCACCUCAAAUGCCGGUUUUUUGGAAUUGUGUUAGGUCUGAUCACAAUUUAUAAAAUGGUAUGAGAGCCUUCUCCAAAUUCAAUUGAACUACGUGCUAGCAGGUUUCCGCUAUAUUACAAAUUGCAUUGCAUUCAACCAUCUACUAAUUAACAAGCAUCCUAAUUCCCAGCUGACUUCCUAGUACUGUAUCAGCUUCGACAACAAAAAAUAUUAGGGAUGGAUCAUGAACCAAAUUUUUUUAUAAGGCCAAUAAUUUCCUCUUAAAUUGAUAGCAUGUUUUUAUAGAAUAGUUUUCUUAUCCAAUUUAAGUAGCAUAUUGCUUUGGAAUGAACAACAUAUAUUUAUGGUUUAUCAAACUUUGAUAUUAAUCAUUAACAUUCUGGUCACUGAUCUUGCUGGCCAGUAGGCGGCUCAAAACAUUACAACAUUGCUAUUCCUUCCAAUAUGUUACUAUUCUGCUUCAGAAUGAUAUGAUUUCCUUGUUUAUUCAUGAGGUGUCGGUUCAGUGAAAGAGUUUGAUCCUGCGGUCUAUGGCUUCGCUCCGGCGGGUAUCACUUCACAAAUUGGCUAUGGCAUUCAUUAAAAAAUCCGCCACACCAUUUGGCCAUGGCCUGCAUUUAACAACACUCUUCCCUUUACAAUACUAUCCCGCACCAUAUUCACUUUGGUGAUUUUUUAAAUUGGCAUUAAUACCAAAAGUUAUGUAUUCAAAGAUUGUGAAAGAAAAUAGUACAUUAUAAUAAAUUCCUUAUUCUCAUCAGUUCCUGAUGUUUAUAUACUUUUUUCAUAUCUUCGGCAUGCAGGAAAGAACUCUUUUAUCUGGUUUGGACCAACACCACGGGUAAACUUAACAGAUCCUGAGCUAAUUAGAGAUGUAUUUAACAAAAUGUACGACUUCCAAAAGCCUAUUGCGAAUCCGCUUGGAAAGUUACUAGCUAAUGGUCUUAUAAGUCAUGAGGGAGAACAGUGGAGCAAGCACAGAAAGAUUAUCAACCCUGCAUUCCAUUUAGAAAAAUUGAAGGAAAGUUUCCCUUUACUUGAUAUAGAAUCCAAUUGUGUUUAUCUAGGCCGCAACAUAUAACUUUUCAAGCAUCACAAUUAGGUUUAUAAGAAAACAUGAUUUGAAUUCUUAAUGCACAUGUGCUUAGUUUAACACCUCUUUGUCUCUUACAAACAGAUCAUGUUACCAAUAUACCUCAAAAGUUGCGAUGAUCUGAUUAGCAAAUGGGAGAAAAUGUUGGCUUCAGAUGGAUCAUGUGAAAUGGACGUAUGGCCUUUCCUUCAAAAUUUGGCGAGUGAUGUUAUUUCUCGAGCUGCAUUUGGAAGUAGUUAUGAAGAGGGAAAAAGAAUAUUUCAACUUCAAACCGAACAAGCCAAACUUACAAUGUCAGUUAUGACGAAAGUUUACAUCCCUGGAUGGAGGUAAGAUUAAUAUUUAUAUCACAAGUUGAAUUCGAAAAUGCUAUAUUUUGGAUAAAACUAAGCACUAGAUUCUAGUGAUACAGUAAAUGGAGAUUUGGCUCCUCUAAAAUUAAGUUAAAAUAAAGUAAGAAGACCAGAAUAAAAUAUUUCAACGCAUGUCACAUGGUUUGUUAUACUUGUGCUUGUAAUAACAACCAUUGAUUUAUUAAUCAAUGGUUUAUAGUAUUGUAUACUCUAAAGUGAGUUGUUCACUUUGGAGGAGUAAGAUCAAGGAAAUAGCAUUCCCUUCAGAUCAUUUGAAUUACAUACCAAUUAUGUUUAUUUUGAAGGUUUCUACCAACUACUACACAUAGGAGAAUGAAAGAAAUUGACCGAGACGUUAAAGCGUCGCUUACAGAUAUGAUUAACAAGAGAGAAAGAGCACUAAAGGCAGGUGAAGCCACUAAGGAUGACUUAUUAGGUAUACUUUUAGAGUCAAAUCACAAAGAAAUGGAAGAACACGGCAACAAUAAGAAUGUUGGAAUGAGUCUUGAUGAUGUAAUAGAGGAAUGCAAGCUCUUCUACUUUGCAGGCCAAGAGACCACUUCUGUUUUGCUUGUUUGGACAAUGGUGUUGUUGAGUAGGUACCCUGAUUGGCAAGAACGUGCAAGGGAAGAAGUAUUACAAGUUUUUGGCAACAAUAAACCUGACUUUGACGGGCUAAGUCAUCUUAAGAUCGUAAGUAUUAUGUACUUCCCUUCAUGUUAAACAAUAUAUGCCGUCAUACUUAACAUUGAUGUAACUCUUUUUGAUACAGGUCACUAUGAUUUUGUACGAGGUUCUUAGGUUAUACCCACCAGCAAUCGCGCUUGCUCGAAGUGUUCACAAAGAUGUGAUACUUGGAAACCUAGCAUUGCCAGCCGGAGUGCAGGUUUUCUUAUCGAUAAUUUUGGUUCACCAUGACAUAGAACUAUGGGGUGAUGAUGCUAAGGUGUUCAAUCCCGAGAGAUUUUCAGAAGGUGUUUUAAAAGCAACAAAUGGAAGAAAUUCAUUUUUUCCAUUUGGAGGGGGUCCUAGAAUUUGCAUUGGACAAAACUUUUCUAUGUUGGAAGCAAAGAUGGCAAUAGCAAUGAUUUUACAACGUUUCGACUUCGAACUUUCUCCAAGUUAUGCUCAUGCCCCGGCCACAGUAAUUACGCUUCAGCCACAAUAUGGUGCUCAUAUAAUUCUACGUAAAGUGGAAUUGUAAAAUUUAUAAUUUGCUUAUUCCACUAUUAGAAUGAUUGCAAUUAUUGAAAUAUAUAUCGUUUCCUUUUAUUAUUAUUCUUCUUUGAUGGUUGUUUAUUUUUCAUUAUGUCACCUUAAAUUAAGUUGUUGAUUAGUUGUAUUCUCUCCUAUAAAAGGAGCACCAUUCUUAUUGAAUAAAAUACUUUGAAGAAUAUAGAGUAAUUUCUACAUGGUAUUAGAGCCCCCGAUUUCGGGGGUCUUGCUUCCCGCAUAAACCCUAGCCGCCAUUAAUACGACAUCUUUUUUUUUUUUUUUUUUUUUUGGUUUUUGAUAUCCAGCAACACUGUUCAUCGAUACCGGCACUGUUCAUACGAGGUACUGUUCACGUCAUACUUUUUUUUUAUCAAAGCUAGAAAAAUUAAAUUGUAAAACAGAAGAUGCCUGAAUCGUUUACAACAAAAACUGGCCAACUAUGACCAUACUCAACUAAAACAAAUCUCAAUUAAAACAACAUAUAUGUAUAGAAGCAAAUCAACUGGCUAGACUAAGCUGCCAAAGUCCAAACAACUAGCUACUUGCACAUAUUAAGAAGCAUAUUUUGGAUUGUUUUUUAUUACACCCUUUUUGGAACGAGUUUGGAUGUGCUCACUACUUGUGAUGCCAUCCGAGCCUUUGCCUCUUGCAGAGCUGCUACUCUUUCUUGAUAUCCUGCUGGACUUAGGUUAGUGAAUAGCAUCUGGUUGUGCCAUCAAGAACUUCAGAGCCACAGGGUGCAUAUUCAUCAUUUCAGUGUCAGUGUCAAGGUCCAUAGUGCCAUCUGUCGUGUGGUCAGAAUCCACCACGUCCCUCCAAAAUUUGCUAAGAAUUUGGGCACUUUUCUUGGCUACAGUAGAAACAUUUUUAGAGCCACCAAUAGCAUGAAACCAAUAAAUCAACAUUCUCGAGUUCAACAUUUAAUGCCUCCUCUGGAACCUCAACAUUAUCUGUUGUUAACAAGGCAAAAGAGUUUUGCAAUUCGACCUCCGAAUCAGACUUAUAGGCAGGUUCUGACGGAUCAGAGGAGUGUAUAACAGGAACAAUGAUGCUAUGAACAGAAGAAGAUUGCAAUUCAAUAGGAAAAGUUUCAGCCAAAACAGGACGAGAUUGCUCUCGAUUAAACUCUACAACUUCAGAACGGAUGCCAACACCCACAUUCUGAGGUUGUGCAUUCUGCUUAUGUUGCAUCCAAGACGAAGAAUCAGCGCCUGGGAAUGAAUGCUUCUUACUGAUCAACUCUGCGCCAAUUCCUUGAAAAUUGGAACCAUGCUUUUUUUUUAUAACCCUGAAGAAAAUCCCGAUUCUUUUUUAUAAAAAAAAAAAAUAAUAAUUUUUUUUACCACAUGUGACGUGGCAUGACACGUGAUAGUGUCACGUAGACAGUCAAAUGUCACGUCAUGUUGACUAACAGAAGAAUUUGACGGAGGAGAUAAAUUGAUUAAUGUUAUACAAUUUAAAAUGAUAAUUGAAGUUUUGUUAAUGUUACGGAGGUAAUUGACGAAGCUUACAAUUUCAGAAAUUAAUUGUCUAUUUACUCUAGUAAGUAGUCUUAAAAGGACAAAUUCUUAUACACCCACCAAUAAAGAUAAGUAGAGUAGACUGUACUAAAUUGAUAUCAAUCAAAAUCAUUCAUUUAUCUUAUAAUACUGUAAUACUAUUUUUGUUGAUGAUAUAACAUCAAAUGUUUGAAAACUUAGUGUCCCACGACCAUAGAACCAACCACUUAAUAUACAAUCUCAAACAUUCAAUAUUAUGAAAGAUGCUUUAAGAAAAUCCAAAAAGAAUAAGCCAUUCCAAUAUGACUAAAUAAUUGGAAUAAAUUAUUCCGCAAUAGUGGCCUUAUAACAUAACUCAUUUGAUUGAGAUAUUGUAUUGUACUAUGUAAAAGUCGGAAUUUUACCCAUGAAAUCUUCGAUUAUUGACGGUGGAUUCUAAGUUUCUAACCAAUAAAAAAUAAUUCUGCGGCCGACUAAUUUUAAAAGAAAUCCAAAAAAAGUAUGUUAUUAGAUAAUUGUCUUUAUCUUAAAUAAAUGCAAAACCGACAAAAAGUCAUCAAUGACAUAUGGUGUGGACUUUGGACUGUAUUCAGUGCAGAACAACCAAAUUAAUUGAUCUUAUUGUAUUAAUCAUCUUCCCCUACUAAUUUCUUUCAUCCACCAAUUAUCACUCUACACAAAAAUGGCUACAAUUACAUCCAUAAUUCUCUUCACCUUGUUGACACUCUUUUUCAUAUUGGNUAAUUUCUUUCAUCCACCAAUUAUCACUCUACACAAAAAUGGCUACAAUUACAUCCAUAAUUCUCUUCACCUUGUUGACACUCUUUUUCAUAUUGGCAUGGAGGAUUUUGAAUUGGUUAUGGUUGAAGCCAAAGAAGCUAGAGAAAUUCCUAAGAGAACAAGGACUAAAAGGGAAUUCAUAUAGGCUUUUAGUUGGAGACAUGAAUGAUCUUCUUAAGAUGAGAAAGGAAGCAACAUCUAAACCUAUGAAUCUUUCUGAUGAUAUUGUUCCUCGUGUGUUUUCCUUUGUCCAACAAAGUGUUGCAAAACAUGGUAUGUCUCUCUUCUUACUCCUCUUUUUAAUUUCUAGUUUUACUAUAUUUAUAUAAUGAAGAAUAACAAUAAAGUACUAGUUUAGUUUCCCUCAACUAUACUAGUUAGUAAUAAAAAAAUCAAUUUGUAAAAUUCUAUAAAAAUAAUAGAAUUUUUUUUUUUUUUAGAUUAACAGUGAGGAGUGUAAAGUGAGGGAAGGUCUGACAAUAUUUUUACUUAAGUACAGACAAUCUCCAUCUCAUAAACCAACUUUGUAAGGAUGAUUUAAACUCAAUUUUAAAAUGGUAUUAGAGUCUAUGGAUUCGGGACACCCAACAUUUAUACACAAACCAAGCCCAAAAGUGAUGGAAGUGAGGGGUGUGUUGGGAAAAACUUAAAUCCCACAUUGAAAAGAUAAGAAUUAUGAUAAGAGUUUAUAAAAAGAGGCACCCCUCACCUUACAAGCCAGUUUAUAAGGUUGAGUUAGGGUCAAUAUCAAAAUAUAAAAUGGCAUUAGAGUUUCAAAAUCUAACAUGGUAUCAUAGUUUAUCAAUUCGCGCCACCCACCAUUUAUACACGCACCAAACCGAAUAGUGUUGUGUCGGGGCCAACCACAAUUUCUAACAUGGCAUCAGAGCCUCCAAAAGGUUUCCGCCAUCAAAUUACAAAUUGCAUUGCAUUCAACUAUCUACUAGUUGACAACCAUCCUAUUUCCUAAUUGACUUCCCUGUUAUUUCCAACUGAGUAAUUUUGUUGGUUACUCUCAUUGUAAUUCUCUGUAUCAGCUUCCACCACUUAAAGUUAAGGAGUGGAUCAAGAACCAAAUUUUUUGAUUAAAGCCAAUAUAAAUACCAACACAUAAAUUGCACUUACUGACUGAUACUAAACUGACAUUAUCAGGAUAUAAUUUCCUCUUAAAUUGAUAGCAUGUUUUUAUAAAAUAGUAUUCUGAUCCAAAUUUACUCCCUCCGGUCACAUUUAUAAGCAAAAAACAACUUUUUAGGUUCAUUCAAUAAUUAAUGUAUCUGACCUUUAUAUAGACUAGAUACAUUAGUUAUUCAAUAAACCUAAACAAUUUUUUUUGCUUAUAAAUGUGACCAGAAAGAAUGUAGUUAAUACUUAUUUCUUUGAAAUGAAUGACAUCGGUUUAUCAAACUUUGAUGUUAAUCAUUAAGAUUCAUAGUCUUCAUGAUUGUGAUUUUGAUCACUGAUCAUGCUGGGCAGUAGGCUCAAAACAUUACAACAUUGCUAUUCCUUCCAAUAUGUUACUAGCCUGAAUUAAAAUGAUAUUACUUCCUUGUUUGUUCAUGAGGUGUCAGUUCAGUGAAAAGAGUUUGAUUAUGUGGUCUAUUGCUUCGCUAUGGCGGGUUAUGACUUCACAAAUUGGCUAUGGCAUUCAUAAAAAAACCAGCCACACCAUUUGGCCAUCGCCGCCAUUUAACAACACUGUAUGUUUUACAAUACUAUCCUGCACCUUGUUCACUUUGGUGAUUUUUCAAAUUGGCAAUAAUACCUAAAUAUAUAAUAUAAACACUUAAAGUUCUGUAUUCAAAGAUUCCGGAAGCAAAUAGUACACUAUAAUAAGUUGCUAAUUCUCAUCAAUUCUUGAUAUUUAUAUACUUUUUUCAUAUCUUCGGCGUGCAGGAAAGAACUCUUUUAUCUGGUUUGGACCAACACCAAGGGUGAACAUAACAGAUCCUGAUAUGAUUAGAGAUGUAUUUAACAAAAUGUACGACUUCCAAAAGCCUAAUGCGAAUCCGCUUGGAAAGUUACUAGCUAAUGGCCUUGCAAGUCAUGAGGGAGAACAGUGGAGCAAGCACAGAAAGAUUAUCAACCCUGCAUUCCAUGUAGAAAAAUUGAAGGAAAGUUUCCCUUUACUAGAUAUAGAAUCCAAUUGUGUUUAUCUAGUCCGCAACAUAUAAUUGUUCAAGCAUCACAAUUAGGUUUAUAAGAAAACAUGAUUUGAAUUCUUAAUGCACAUGUGCUUAGUUUAACACCUCUUUGUCUCUUACAAACAGAUCAUGUUACCAAUAUACCUCAAAAGAUGCGAUGAUCUGAUUAGCAAAUGGGAGAAAAUGUUGGCUUCAGAUGGAUCAUGUGAAAUGGAAGUAUGGCCUUUCCUUCAAAAUUUAGCAAGAGAUGUUAUUUCUCGAGCUGCAUUUGGAAGUAGUUAUGAAGAGGGAAAAAGAAUAUUUCAACUUCAAACCGAACAAGCCAAACUUACAAUGUCAAUUAUGACAAAAGUUUACAUCCCUGGAUGGAGGUAAGAUUAAUAUUUAUAUCACAAGUUGAAUUAGAAAAAGCUAUAUUUUGGAUAAAACUAAGCACUAGAUUAUAGUGAUACAGUAAAUGGAAAUUUGGAUCCUCUAAAAUUAAGUUAAAAUAAAGUAAGAAAACCAAAAAAAAAUAUUUCAACGCAUGUCACAUGGUUUGUUAUACUUGUGCUUGUAAUAACAACCAUUGAUUAAUUAAUCAAUGGUUUAUAGUAUUGAAUACUCUAAAGUGAAUUGUUCACUUUGGAAGAGUAAGAUCAAAGAAAUAGCAUUCAAUUCAGAUCAUUUGAAUUACAUAAAAAUUAUGUUUAUUUUGAAGGUUUCUACCAACUACUACACAUAGGAGAAUGAAAGAAAUUGAAAGAGACGUAAAAGCAUCGCUUACAGAUAUAAUUAACAAGAGAGAAAGAGCACUAAAAGCAGGUAAAGCAACUAAGGAUGACUUAUUAGGUAUACUUUUAGAGUCAAAUCAAAAAGAAAUGGAAGAACAAGGCAACAAUAAGAAUGUUGGAAUGAGUCUUGAUGAUGUAAUAGAGGAAUGCAAGCUCUUCUACUUUGCAGGACAAGAGACCACUUCUGUUUUGCUUGUUUGGACAAUGGUGUUGUUGAGUAGGUAACCAGAUUGGCAAGAACGUGCAAGGGAAGAAGUAUUACAAGUAUUUGGCAACAAUAAACCAGAAUUUGACGGGCUAAGUCAUCUUAAGAUCGUAAGUAUUAUGUACUUCCCUUCAUGUUAAACAAUAUAUGCCGUCAUACUUAACAUUGAUGUAACUCUUUUUGAUACAGGUCACUAUGAUUUUGUACGAGGUUCUUAGGUUAUACCCACCAGAAAUCGCGCUUACUCGAAGUGAUCACAAAGAUAUGACACUUGGAAACCUAACAUUACCUGCAGGAGUGCAGGUUUUCUUAUCGAUAAUUUUGGUUCACCAUGACAUAGAACUAUGGGGUGAAGAUGCUAAGGUGUUCAAUCCCGAGAGAUUUUCAGAAGGUGUUUUAAAAGCAACAAAUGGAAGAAAUUCAUUUAUUCCAUUUGAAGGGGGUCCUAGAAUUUGAAUUGGACAAAACUUUUCCAUGUUGGAAGCAAAGAUGGCAAUAGCAAUGAUUUUACAACGUUUCUCAUUUGAACUUUCUCCAUCUUAUGCUCAUGCCCCGGCUACGGUAAUUACGCUUCAGCCACAAUAUGGUGCUCAUAUAAUUCUACGUAAAGUGGAAUUGUAAAAUUUAUAAUUUGCUUAUUCCACUAUUAGAAUGCUUGUAAUGAUGCUUAUAAAAAAAAUAAAAAAUCCUAUGAUGUAAAAUAGAAAGCUCAUAGUAUAAUAAAAGAAUAUUUGUUCUGAGAUAUCAACCCUUUAAGUGGAUCCCUAUACCUACCCUGCAGGAAGCCAUAUUGUUUAUGUACAGGUUGGAAAUUGGCAUGUAUGAUGUAAGUGUUCUUCCCAAACAAAAAGUUGUCUAUGCCAAGUUAAGUUCCACUCCCUUGAAAUAAUGUUUCCCUCCAUCAGUUCUCCCACACCAGCCUCUCGACUGUUCCCUACCCUUCUCAAAACCUACGGAUUAAACCAACCUUGCCCACCAAACAUAUCAAAAUUAACAAUAUUUUUCCACUACCUUGAUGUAUGUCUCGGCCACUCCACAUCUCCACCUCCAUCCACCUCAUCACUCCAAAACCAUAUUUCUCUAUUAGCGCAUCUUUCCAAAGAGCCCCUUCCCGUCCAAUAACAUUCAUCUCCAUUUAGCCAAUAAACUUACAUUAACCACCCGGAUAUCACUCACUCUAAGAUCUCCAUUCUCCUUCCUUUGACACACCGACUUCAAUUUGACCCAACUAAUUUUCCUACCUCCUCCCACACCACUCCAAAAAAACUCUCUUUGGAUCCUAACAAACUUUUUCCACACCGCUACAUGCAUCUUCAAAAAUAAUAAAAAGAAGAUAGGUAUUGAAUUCAAUACGGAAUUAAUAAGAACAACUCUACCUCGAAGACUGAUAUAUUUGUGCCCCCACGAAUUCAACUUUCGGUUUAGAAGAUCCAAUAUUGGUUUUCAUUGUUGUCAAAAUCCUGAUUUAAAUUCUAAAAUCUAGGAUUUUUCGACUUUCUUCGCCUUCAACGACUCAAAUCCAUAGUAGAAUCUCAAAAUAGACAAAAUCCAUCGAUUUUGAUUGCAAUUUUACGAUUUCUUAUAAACUAAGUCAUUUAUUACUAUAUACCAUUUAUAACAGGCUUAAAUGUGAAAAUAGUCCCUGCAAAUAUCUGACAUUUUGGUUUUAGUCCCUGUAAAAGUAUUUUUUUGAUUUUAGUCCCUGUAAAAACAAAAAUUUGGUUUUGGUCCUUGGUAUUUUGUUUUAGUCCUUGUAAAAUUGAUUCAUAUUGGAUUUGGUCCUUGUAAUAUGUAGAAUAUUUGAUUUUAGUCCCUCAAAAUGAGGACUAAAAUGAAUAUUAUAAGCACCAAUUUCAAUAUGAAAUGAUUUUACAAGGAUUAAAACAAAAUAACAAAGACCAAAACCAAAAAUUCUAUAUUUGCAGGGACUAAAACCAAAAAAAUAUUUUUACAGGGACUAAAACCAAAAUGUCAGAUAUUUGCCGGGACCAUUUCCAUAUUUAAGCCUUUAUAACAUAUAUUUAGUAUUAAUUUUUUGGGGUAAAAUCCAUCUAUUUUGAUUGCGAUUUUACAAUUUCCUAUAUCGAUUCUAUAAAAGUCCUUGAGUAAAAUCAUUCGAUUUUGAUUGCGAUUUUAUGAGUCCCGAUUUUUCUAUUGCUUUUCGACCUGAAGUAAUGUCCCGAUUUUGACAACCUUACCGGUUCCCACGUUAACAUACUCUUGCCUUUGCACCCACUGGUAACCAAAAGUACUUAAAAGGAAUACUACCUUGACUACAAUUCAAGAACGUGCACACCAUAUCCAUAAACUCCAACACUACAUUAACCCCUAUCAAACAACUCUUUGAAAAAUUGAUCUUCAACCCGGACGCCAUCUCAAAACCUUUCAAACGAGCUUUUAGAGUCCAAAGAUUGUUCAUUGUUGCCUUCCCAAUACAAAGAGUGUCAUCCGCAUACUGGAAAUGAGACACCUCUACAUUUUCACUAGAAAACUGAAAGUCUUCAAACAUGUUUAGAGAUACUACAUUCUGCAUCAACCCGCUAAAACCUUCCGCCACGAAUAAAAACAAAAAAGGUGCUAGCAGAUCUCCUUGUUUAAGCCCCUUUUCAAUACUAAUUUCGUCUGUUGGACUACCAUUAACAAGAAUUGACAUGCUCCCACCCACACACACCUUCGUCCAAGCCAUUCAUUUUGAACAAAAACCUACUCUCCUCAACAUAUACUCCAAAAAUCCCCAACCCACCGAGUCAUAAGCCUUCUCAAAAUCAACCUUUAGAAUCAAACAUUCUCGGUACAUUUUCUUAGCAUAAUCCACGAAUUCAAUUAGAGUUUAAUGAUUUCGUCGUGGUUUUAAAUUGCGGUUUCGGUCUUGGUCGUUGCAAUUGUGGACAGUAGGUUUCGGAUGCCGUUGCAGAGGCUAUCACAACGACGAUAUUGUGGCCGUAGUUGCGGAUGCCGUCCGAAAUUGUGGUUGUCGCUGCUCUCACCAGGAAUCUAACCAGAUGAUUUCCACCGGAAUGGGCAAACCUCAGUGAUUUUUGUUAAAUCCUAAGAAGGUAUUAUUUUGUAUGCUUUAUGUCUCGGUCAUUAUGUGCCAUCUUCACUCUCAUUUCUAUGCAUAUAAACACAGUGGCUUGAAUUAAUAUUUUUCUAAAGCAUAUAAUAAAGUAUUAAAAAGUUAGGUCAUAAUAUUAAUAGUGCUACUAAUAUGAAAUGUGAAACCAACAAAAUUCUUAGUCAAGGACAUGUGUCGUAACGUCAAAAGAAAAGGACAUGUGUCGUGGACUUUAUAAAGUGCAGCAUAUCAAAUCAAAUCAUACUUCUUUCCUUCUCACCGAAAUCUCUUCUUCUUUUAUCAUCUUCUCCUACUUUCUUUUUUCCACCAAUUAUUACUCUACACAGAAAUGGCUACAACUACAGCAAUAAUUCUCUUCACCUUGAUGACACUUUCUCUCAUAUGGGCAUGGAGAAUUUUGAAUUGGAUAUGGUUGAAGCCAAAAAAGCUAGAAAAAGAGCUCAGAGAACAAGGACUUAAAGGAAAUUCAUACAGACUUUUAGUUGGAGACAUAAAAGAUCUUCUUAAGAUAAGAAAGGAAGCAACAUCUAAACCUAUGAAUCUUUCUGAUGAUAUUGUGCCUCGAGUGUAUUCCUUUGUCCAACAAACUGUUGCAAAACAUGGUAUGUCCCUUUUUAUACAAACUCUCAUCUUUAUUAAUUAUUCAAUUUUUCAUUGAAAAAUCCCUUUAAUCAGGGCCGUUCCUAGAGUUUUGCAGGUCUUAGACAUAGUAUGAGAAAAUGGUCCCUUACAUAACAUAUUUUAAUUUUUUUUAGCUUGAUUUUAUCAGAUGUUCUUUUUGUUUUUUCCCCGCUUUUUACUACCAAAAAAGAAAAAAAAACAAAAAAUGAUGAGUGGGCCGCAUGAUCCUAAACCCCUUGUAGACUAAUAGUGCCACACUUAGGGGUUUGAGUAACUUGCAUGAUUUGAAUUAAGGGUAGAAGGAAUUGAAGGUUCGGGUUUAAACCUAAAGGAAGCAAUGAAUAUUAGUCUAUAACUAAUUAGUCAUAAAAAAAAAAAUGCUCCACUUAAUUAUUAUCAUCAUUAAUUGCUGGAAUUUAGAUAUAUUUGCGUGAUAAAGAGGGACAAUAGAUAACUAGUUUAGUGUCCUUCGAUUGUACUUCCUCUGGAUUCUGGAUUCUAUUAUAAGAUAAAGUUCAUUUUUUAGAUUUAUUUUAAUAAAUGAUGUAUUUAAUCCCUCUGGUUUCUAUUAUAAGAUAAAGUUCAUUUUUUAGAUUUAUUCAAUAAAUGAUGUAUUUAGUCCCUAAUAUAAAUUAAAUACAUCAUUUAUUAGAUAAACUUAAAAAGUUAACUUUCUCUUAAAAUAGAGAUCGAAGUAGUACCUGUUAGUAAUAAAAAAAAAAACAUUUUCUCAAGUUGUAUAAAAUUAGGAGAGAAUUCGCAAUACCUAAAUUAAUAGAAACGUUAGCCAAAUGUCAUGUGGUCACCCUUAAAAAUAUGUCAUGUGGGCAAAACAGUUUCUUAUUUUGUCAUUCUUUAUAAUGCAUAGAUUUAGACUUGGUCCUUAGAUUAAUCUCAUAGCUAUGAUUCAGCCAAGAGAUAGGAGGGUUAUGGAGGAUCCAGUUGCGCCUUGCGAGUAAGAGUUGCCAAACCAUAUUGCAGCCGUAGAGGAUCCAAACACCGAGGAUCAUAACAAUAGUUCAUACUUAUAGGACAACCAUCAGAGUAAUCUAACAUUAUUUUUCUUUUGGAUGUAAAAUCAUCUCAUUUUCCACUAAAUGUAUAAAGAAUACUUCUCUUGCAGAGGGAACAUACAGAAGAACUGACUUUGGAUUAUAUCCUAAUUCGUAACUAACUUCUUACCUAUGACUCUGGUUAUUCUCAUCAAUUCGCGAUGUUUAAUACUUUUUGCAUAUCCUUGGCAUGCAGGAAAGAACUCUUUUAUCUGGUUUGGACCAACACCAAGGGUGAACAUAACAGAUCCUGAGCAAAUUAAAGAUGUAAUUAACAAAAUUUACGACUUCCAAAAGCCUAAUGUGAACCCGCUUGUCAGGUUACUAGGUUGUGGUCUUGUAUGUCUUGAGGGAGAACAGUGGAGCAAGCACAGAAAGAUAAUAAAUCCUGCAUUCCAUUUAGAAAAAUUGAAGGUAAGUUUCCCUUUACUACGUAGAGAAUCCAAUUGUGCUUAUCUAGUCCGAAACAUAUAGUUUUGCAAGCAUCACAAGUUAGGUUUAUUAAAAAAAAAAAAACAUGCUUUGAAUUCUUAAUCUUAAACCUCUUUAGUUUAAGGAAUAAAAAUAUAAAAAAAAAAUAUAAAAAAUCUAACACCUCUUUGUCUCUUACAAAACAGAUCAUAUUACCAAUAUUCCACAAAAGUUGCGAUGAUUUGAUUAGCAAAUGGGAGAAAAUGUUGUCGUCAGAUGGAUCAUGUGAAAUGGACGUAUGGCCUUUCCUUCAAAAUUUGGCCAGUGAUCUUAUUUCUCGAGCAGCGUUUGGAAGUAGUUAUGAAGAGGGAAAAAGAAUAUUUCAACUUCAAACCGAACAAGCUGAACUUACAACAAAAAUUAUCGAGAAAGUUUAUAUCCCUGGAUGGAGGUGAGACUAAUUUUUAAAUUGCAAGUUAAAUAUGAAAAUGAUUCAUUUUGGAUAAACUAUUUAGAAAUAAGAACCAUCAUUAAGGAACAGUGUGUUAUAUAUUCUGUGCUGAUUCAUUAUUGAUUAUUCUAAUGGAAAGAUAGUACAAACUAAAGUAUGAAGACCAAAAGGUACUAUUUCAACACAUUCUUAGACACACAUGAUAGUUUAUACAUGUGCUUGUUAACUAUUAUUUAUGGAUCGAUGGUUUAGUAUUACUUUUUUUAUACACUAAAGUUAAUUGCUCGCUUUGGAGGAGUAAGAUCCGUGAAAUAACAUUCUCUACAUAUCACAUUAAUUAUGAGACUAAUCAUGUUUAUUUUGAAGGUUUCUACCAACUACUACCCCUAGGAGAAUGAAAGAAAUUGAAAGAGACGUAAGAGCUUCGCUUACAGAUAUGAUUAACACGAGAGAGAGAGCACUAAUGGCAGGUGAAGCAACAAAGGAUGAUUUGUUAGGUAUACUUUUAGAGUCAAAUCACAAAGAAAUGGAAGAACAUGACAACAAUAAGAAUGUUGGAAUGAGUCUUGACGAUGUAAUAGAGGAAUGCAAGCUAUUCUACUUUGCAGGUGCAGAGACAACUUCUGUUUUGCUUGUUUGGACAAUAGUGUUGUUGAGUAGGUACCCUGAUUGGCAAGCACGUGCAAGGGAGGAAGUAUUACAAGUAUUUGGCAACAAUAAACCCGAUUUUGAUGGGCUAAGUCAUCUUAAGAUUGUAAGUAUUGUGUUCUUCCCUUCAUAUUAAACUAUAUAUAACUUCAUACUUACGAUUGACAUAACCUUUUUUGAGACAGGUCACGAUGAUUUUGUACGAGGUUCUUAGGUUAUACCCACCAGUAAUCGAACUUGCUCGAAGUGUUCACAAAGAUGUGAAACUUGGAAACCUAACAUUACCUGCCGGAGUGCAAAUUACCUUACCGAUAGUUUUAGUUCACCAUGACUCCGAACUAUGGGGUGACGAUGCUAAGGUGUUCAAUCCUGAGAGAUUUUCUGAAGGUGUUUUGAAAGCAACAAAUGGAAGAAAUUCAUUUGUUCCAUUUGGAGGGGGUCCUAGAAUUUGCAUUGGACAGAACUUUUCUAUGUUGGAAGCAAAGAUGGCGAUAGCAAUGAUUUUACAACGUUUCUCAUUCGAACUUUCUCCAUCUUAUGCUCAUGCCCCGACUGCAUUAAUUACCCUUCAACCACAAUACGGUGCUCAUAUAAUUCUACGUAAAGUGGAAUUGUAAAAUUUAUAAUUUGCCUAUUCCAC